RNAcentral lists this ribosomal RNA (425 nucleotides) under Halomonas sp. AEP2. RNAcentral describes it as "bacterial SSU rRNA". It matches the Rfam family "Bacterial small subunit ribosomal RNA", at positions 973 to 1397 of the family's 1533-position model. Lineage: Bacteria; Pseudomonadati; Pseudomonadota; Gammaproteobacteria; Oceanospirillales; Halomonadaceae. The record is from RNAcentral.
ACCUACCCUUGACAUCUACAGAAGCCGGAAGAGAUUCUGGUGUGCCUUCGGGAACUGUAAGACAGGUGCUGCAUGGCUGUCGUCAGCUCGUGUUGUGAAAUGUUGGGUUAAGUCCCGUAACGAGCGCAACCCUUGUCCUUAUUUGCCAGCGAGUAAUGUCGGGAACUCUAAGGAGACUGCCGGUGACAAACCGGAGGAAGGUGGGGACGACGUCAAGUCAUCAUGGCCCUUACGGGUAGGGCUACACACGUGCUACAAUGGCCGGUACAAAGGGCUGCGAGCUCGCGAGAGUCAGCGAAUCCCUUAAAGCCGGUCUCAGUCCGGAUCGGAGUCUGCAACUCGACUCCGUGAAGUCGGAAUCGCUAGUAAUCGUGAAUCAUAAUGUCACGGUGAAUACGUUCCCGGGCCUUGUACACACCGCCCGU